UUUACUCAGGGAGGAAAGAAAAGCAACUGCGAUUGCUUCAGUAAUGGCGAAUGAACUGGCAACACAGGCUCAGCCUGAAUGGAAUCCAGCUGCAACAGUGUUGCACCCGGCUCAUGUGAGAUUCAGCAGAUGCUGUGGGUUGAUGGAGCAGGUAGUGAGUCUGGUCAGGCCAUGCACCAAAGAAAGUCCCUGGAAUGGGCUACUACAGAAGGAUACUGUCCUGUAUGGUGCUGAGUGCUGUGGCUUGGCUGGGCUUUGCUGCUUGCAUCCAAGAGUAGAGUUGCUUGGGACUGCAGUUUGAAGUGCAGGGUGUAUCCUCUGCAAGGCAGAAUACUGACAUGGAACCGAUAGCGCACAAGUAGAGUGAUUGAAGGAUGCAAAGCACCUUGCAAAGGGGGUUCAACGUCCCUGAAGCCUCAGCAGGAACAGCGGAGAGUGAUGUUGUGGUUAUCUGGUCGCCAUCAGGCAGUGCUGCCCAGUCUGGCUAGGUCUGGUUGCCACCAGCUGGCUCACUGUCCUGAGACCAGGGUCCAUUGGACCAAACAUUGGAAUCCAAGCAACCUUGGGCUGGCCCAGAGCUGGCUACUGAGCUCCAUCCCAGAUGUUGGAAUGCAUCGUGGCAGUUUGUGGUGACACUCAGCUUGCCUGAGCCUGAGGGCAACAGAUCAGAGAUAUCACUGUUURAAUUGAAGCAAUCUCCAAGAGGAGACAGUUGUUGAGAGCUAUGCCAACCCUGCUGUGUCCAAGGACAUGGCAGUGCAUUGUGCCUYGAAUGUUGAAGCUAGGCCAUGCCGCCUGUUGACCUGCACCAUCCUGAUGGUGGUUCACUGGUGGUGGAAGCUUUGCAGAGAGAGUGCDGGCAGAUGGCAGUUGAGCUUGGUCUCAGGAUCMCUYUUUBCCKU
RNAcentral lists this ribosomal RNA (902 nucleotides) under Trachelomonas hispida var. volicensis. RNAcentral describes it as "partial large subunit ribosomal RNA". It matches the Rfam family "Eukaryotic large subunit ribosomal RNA", at positions 42 to 617 of the family's 3401-position model. The record is from RNAcentral. Lineage: Eukaryota; Euglenozoa; Euglenophyceae; Euglenales; Euglenaceae.